AACCCUUACCGUUAGUUACCAUCAGGUUAAGCUGGGGACUCUAGCGGGACUGCCACCGUAAGGUGAGAGGAAGGUGGGGAUGACGUCAAAUCAGCACGGCCCUUACGUCCGGGGCUACACACGUGCUACAAUGGCCGGUACAAAGGGUUGCGAAGCCGUGAGGUGGAGCGAAUCUCAAAAAGCCGGCCUCAGUUCGGAUUGGAGGCUGCAACUCGCCUCCAUGAAGUCGGAAUCGCUAGUAACCGCAGAUCAGCUACGUUGCGGUGAAUACGUUCCCGGGCCUU
RNAcentral lists this ribosomal RNA (284 nucleotides) under uncultured Rikenellaceae bacterium. Its description in RNAcentral is "partial 16S ribosomal RNA". It matches the Rfam family "Bacterial small subunit ribosomal RNA", at positions 1100 to 1382 of the family's 1533-position model. Lineage: Bacteria; Pseudomonadati; Bacteroidota; Bacteroidia; Bacteroidales; Rikenellaceae. The record is from RNAcentral.